UGGGGAAUCUUGGACAAUGGGGGCAACCCUGAUCCAGCCAUGCCGCGUGAGUGAUGAAGGCCUUAGGGUCGUAAAGCUCUUUCGCCUGUGAAGAUAAUGACGGUAGCAGGUAAAGAAACCCCGGCUAACUCCGUGCCAGCAGCCGCGGUAAUACGGAGGGGGUUAGCGUUGUUCGGAAUUACUGGGCGUAAAGCGCACGUAGGCGGACCAGAAAGUUGGGGGUGAAAUCCCGGGGGCUCAACCCCGGAACUGCCUCCAAAACUAUUGGUCUAGAGUUCGAGAGAGGUGAGUGGAAUUCCAAGUGUAGAGGUGAAAUUCGUAGAUAUUUGGAGGAACACCAGUGGCGAAGGCGGCUCACUGGCUCGAUACUGACGCUGAGGUGCGAAAGUGUGGGGAGCAAACAGGAUUGAGACCCUGGUAGUCCACACCGUAAAACGAUGAAUGCCAGUCGUCGGGUAGCAUGCUAUUCGGUGACACACCUAACGGAUUAAGCA
RNAcentral lists this ribosomal RNA (494 nucleotides) under uncultured bacterium. RNAcentral describes it as "bacterial SSU rRNA". It matches the Rfam family "Bacterial small subunit ribosomal RNA", at positions 355 to 866 of the family's 1533-position model. The record is from RNAcentral.